UGAACGCUGGCGGUAGGCCUAACACAUGCAGUCGAACGGCAGCACAGGAGAGCUUGCUCUCUGGGUGGCGAGUGGCGGACGGGUGAGGAAUGCAUCGGAAUCUACUCUUUCGUGGGGGAUAACGUAGGGAAACUUACGCUAAUACCGCAUACGACCUACGGGUGAAAGCCGGGGACCUUCGGGCCUGGCGCGAAAGAAUGAGCCGAUGCCCGAUUAGCUAGUUGGCGGGGUAAGAGCCCACCAAGGCGACGAUCGGUAGCUGGUCUGAGAGGAUGAUCAGCCACACUGGAACUGAGACACGGUCCAGACUCCUACGGGAGGCAGCAGUGGGGAAUAUUGGACAAUGGGCGCAAGCCUGGUCCAGCCAUACCGCGUGGGUGAAGAAGGCCUUCGGGUUGUAAAGCCCUUUUGUUGGGAAAGAAAAGCAGUCGGUUAAUACCCGAUUGUUCUGACGGUACCCAAAGAAUAAGCACCGGCUAACUUUC
Molecule: ribosomal RNA, 485 nt
Filed under: Xanthomonas sp. oral taxon 037
Lineage: Bacteria; Pseudomonadati; Pseudomonadota; Gammaproteobacteria; Lysobacterales; Lysobacteraceae
Description: bacterial SSU rRNA
Rfam family: Bacterial small subunit ribosomal RNA
Source: RNAcentral